AGUGAACGCUGGCGGUAGGCCUAACACAUGCAAGUCGAACGGCAGCACAGUAAGAGCUUGCUCUUACGGGUGGCGAGUGGCGGACGGGUGAGGAAUACAUCGGAAUCUACUUUUUCGUGGGGGAUAACGUAGGGAAACUUACGCUAAUACCGCAUACGACCUACGGGUGAAAGCAGGGGAUCUUCGGACCUUGCGCGAUUGAAUGAGCCGAUGUCGGAUUAGCUAGUUGGCGGGGUAAAGGCCCACCAAGGCGACGAUCCGUAGCUGGUCUGAGAGGAUGAUCAGCCACACUGGAACUGAGACACGGUCCAGACUCCUACGGGAGGAAGCAGUGGGGAAUAUUGGACAAAGGGCGCAAGCAUGAUCCAGCCAUACCGCGUGGGUGAAGAAGGCCUUCGGGUUGUAAAGCCCUUUUGGUGGGAAAGAAAAGCAGCAGGUUAAUAACCCGCUGUUCUGACGGUACCCAAAGAAUAAGCACCGGCUAACUCCGUG
This 492-nucleotide ribosomal RNA is filed under the name uncultured bacterium. RNAcentral describes it as "partial 16S ribosomal RNA". It matches the Rfam family "Bacterial small subunit ribosomal RNA", at positions 29 to 507 of the family's 1533-position model. The record is from RNAcentral.